This 3019-nucleotide long non-coding RNA is filed under the name Homo sapiens (human). RNAcentral describes it as "HSALNT0364036". The record is from RNAcentral. Lineage: Eukaryota; Metazoa; Chordata; Mammalia; Primates; Hominidae.
AAGCAUCUGACUAUCUUCUAUCACAGGGCCAGGUACUCAAAAUAUAUUUAUUGAAUACAGUUGAAUAUAUUCUGUGAUCAUCCCUGAUCAUGUUAAGUUCUAUUGGGUCCAUACUAUUUAGUAGCCUAACCCAGGUAGGACUAAAACUAAGCCACUUGUUUGUGCAGCAGUUUCUGAUUACAAGUGGUUUAUAUUCCUGUCCGCACUCAGUGAAGAGGAGCUACCACUGUUAGUAUUUCCAUAAUGUGAAUAGAUGAGAAAACCAAAGCAUAGAGAGGUUAGAUGGUCUGCCCAGGGUCAUGCAGUUUGUAAGUUGCAGUGGCCCACAGCCCAGCUCUCUCUCAGGACCCUGAGAGGUAAGGCUGGAUGAACAUUGCUGACUGUUAAAAGCACCUGACCACUGAGCCAGGUGAGAUGCGCCCACCCCUACUUGUCUGCUGCUCCUGAAGAUUCACAGGUAAAUUGAGCCUCUUCUUAUUGGAUUCUAUUUUGAACUCAUGGUGCUGGGGGUUGUCCUAGAUUAAAGGACACAUGAGGUGGGGAGUUGCAAAGCAUAGGAAAAAAAAAGUAAAGCACAGAAUGUGUAGCAAACUUGGGCCGAUGCUGCAUUUUCUACCUUCUGUCUGCACUGGAUUCCUUAUAAUUUGUCUUGCACAAAUUGGGAUAAAUACAAACAAGCACACAUAUGUAAAUUCAUUCAUUUAAAAAAUAAUCUUUCUGAACCUUAAUUUUUCCUCGCUGGGAAUGAUAGUCUUUUGUGCAAGGAUGUCACACAAAUUUAAUGAGAAAACUCAUAUAAAUGGGCCUUGCAUGGUGACAGAGCUGGCAUUUCCAGACUGUUUUCCUUCUAACUUUCUACCAUGCAACCUCUAUUUGACAGUAUCUGUGGACUGGUUUGCUGAUUGCUCACAAGCCCCAGAAGAAAGGAGGGGGAAAAAUCAUACAAACUGCCCUAAGUUUUGGGCCACUCAGCAGCCAGCCCUCCCUAAAAAUUCUGAGAUAAGAGAAACAUUGCCAAUAGAAGUACUGUGAUCCCCCAGACCUGAGUGCCCUUCCUGGCUUUUGCCUUCCUGGCUCACAAAGCCUCCUAACCCUUUGCAUUCUCUACUUACUCUUAUUCUGUAUCUGGUUGCUGGGGUAUCCUUCCUUUUUGACCAUGAGUGGCAGUUACCUCUGGCCUGUAAAGGAAUUAUUCAGAUGCCAAAAAUUUGGAGAUAGCCAGUUAACUCAGGAAAUGGUAUCCGGAGAAGAAGCAGGAGUGACACAUCUUUGGGGUUCCUGGGUAGCCAUGUAGCACAUAGUUGGAGGGGGCAGGCUUUGAGUCACUCAGAACUGGGUUAGAAUCCUGACUCUGUGGCUUACUGGUUUUCCAGCUUUGUUCCAGUUACUCAGUCCCCUGGGCUUCAGUUUCUUUACUUACAAAAUGGGGAUGUUAAUAACAGUAAUACCUAUAACUAUGGGGCUAUGUUGAGGAUGAAAUAAAAUGAUGUAUAAAAAUCAAUGAGAACACUGCCUGGUACAUAGUGGGCUACCAUGAAUUUUCUGUCCUCAGCCAUGACUAGCUGGAAUGGCCUUUUCCUUCUUAGCUCCUGCUUUUCCUUGAAUCUCAUCCCUUUGAGUGUUCUGCCCUAACACGUCAAGCCAAAUUCUGUGACUUCCUCUUCUGAGGCCCAGAGGUCUGCCAUCUGACCUAUAGAGUCCCUGCACCUGCGUCCUUGACUGGGUUCUGAAGCCCCCUUGACACAGUGCUCAGGAGAAACUCAAAGAGGAAAUGAAAGGCAGAGUCCCUUGUAUCAAUGACAGCAGCCCAGGCUCCCUCAACCUUUGCCUUGGCAAACCGACUCAGACAGUAUUUUCAUUUGAUUCUGUCUUUCUUGGCUUUGGUUGUGACUCAUAAAGCUAUUCAAGCCACUCUAUUUUCUCUGCCCCUGAGAGACUAAAUGGUCCUAUGGAGUGUGAACCAGAGAGGAGAGAGGUCUUGGGAGACCCAGUGGCCACCAUGCCUGAAGGUUAGAGGGGAGAACCAUGCAUGCGUCAUACAAAAGAAAGGGAAGUGGACGCUUUGGCUUGGCCGCUGGAGCGCUAUUAUGCCUCUAGCCAUUCCUUUGCCGGCCUCCCAAUUAUGGCUGCAAUUUGGCAGCCAUUUCCUUGCCCUGGGGUGGAAGGGGUCCCUGCAAAGGGCUCACAGGAUGCUUGAGGAGAACCAGGUGCUCUGUAAAUACUUGUUGGCUUGAAUUGCAUUCAGAAGCUCACCCUUGCUCUGGAGAGAACCUUCAAGGGUAGCAAACAAUGACUUUUACUGAACAUGUCAGAGAGUGUAAGCCAAAUUUUGAGAGAACUAGGGUUUAGUGAGUCUGUGGGCAUUUCCGCAGCGAUGCAGGACAGAAGGGGCAGGGCCCAGGCAGCCCAAUCUGGGAAGCCGGGACCUGUGGUUGAUUGCCUAUAUCCUGGUUUCCUUACCCCAAAUCCUUGUGAUCCAGGAGCACACAAAGAAACAUGUGGGUGUAUAUUCUCCCUGCGACUUUCCUUUUCUAAAGGGACUUUCACUAGCAAGCAACCCAGCCAUCCUGGCUGCUAAUGUAACCUGUCACUUCAAUGCCCCAAGGCCAUCAGCAAUUCACAACUCUCUCUUCCUCAAAUCUAUCCCCACACAGCUGCCAGAGUCCUCCUCUUAACAAAAACCCACCAUGUUACUUUUCCAUCAACUAUAGCAGGAGUCAGCAAACGUUUUCUGGAAAGGGCCAGAGUCGGAGUUUAUUCAUUUCAUUGCUGCAUAGUAUUGCCGUUUGUGAGUAUACAUAAUCUAUUUAUUCACUCUGCUCUUGCUGGACAUUCGGUUACUUUCUAGUUUGGGGCUGUUACAAAUGGUGCUUCGGUGAACAUUCUUAUGCAUGUCUUUUGGUACUAAUUUGGUCUUGGGGUGGAGUUUCUGGGUUAUAGGAUAUGUAUCUGUUCUGAUUUAGCCAUUUGAGCUGUGGGACAUAAUUGCAUCAUUGGCUAUAAAGACUGCUUUCCUGAG